GAUGAACGCUAGCUACAGGCUUAACACAUGCAAGUCGAGGGGCAGCACAAGGCAGCAAUGCUGAGGUGGCGACCGGCGCACGGGUGCGUAACGCGUAUCCAACCUUCCCGUUACUCAUGGAUAGCCUUCCGAAAGGGAGAUUAAUACAUGAUGGUGUUGAAAUUCCGCAUGUUAUUUCAACUAAAGAUUUAUCGGUAUCGGAUGGGGAUGCGUGACAUUAGAUAGUAGGCGGGGUAACGGCCCACCUAGUCUACGAUGUCUAGGGGUUCUGAGAGGAAGGUCCCCCACACUGGAACUGAGACACGGUCCAGACUCCUACGGGAGGCAGCAGUGAGGAAUAUUGGUCAAUGGUCGGAAGACUGAACCAGCCAAGUAGCGUGAAGGAUGAAGGUUCUAUGGAUUGUAAACUUCUUUUAUACGGGAAUAAAACACCUUACGUGUAGGGUCUUGUAUGUACCGUAUGAAUAAGCAUCGGCUAACUCCGUG
RNAcentral lists this ribosomal RNA (486 nucleotides) under uncultured bacterium. RNAcentral's name for it is "bacterial SSU rRNA". It matches the Rfam family "Bacterial small subunit ribosomal RNA", at positions 28 to 507 of the family's 1533-position model. The record is from RNAcentral.